GACGAACGCUGGCGGCGUGCUCAACACAUGCAAGUCGAGCGAUGAAGCUUCUUCGGAAGUGGAUUAGCGGCGGACGGGUGAGUAACACGUGGGCAACCUGCCUUGUAGAGGGGGAUAGCCUUCCGAAAGGAGGAUUAAUACCGCAUAACAUAGCGAACUCGCAGGGGUUUGCUAUCAAAGAUUUAUCGCUACAAGAUGGGCCCGCGUCGCAUUAGCUAGUUGGUGAGGUAACGGCUCACCAAGGCCACGAUGCGUAGCCGACCUGAGAGGGUGAUCCGCCCCAUUUGAAUAUAGACACGGUCCAGAGCCGCAUGCGAGGCAGCAGUGUCGAAUAUUGUACAAUGGGCGAACGCCUGAUGCAGCAACUCAGCGUGAGUAAUGAAGGUCUUCGUAUUGUAAAGCUCUUUGAUUAGGCACCAUAAUGACUGUCCCUAAAGAACAAGCCACGGCUCACUACGUGCCAGCAGCCGCAGUAA
RNAcentral lists this ribosomal RNA (476 nucleotides) under uncultured bacterium. RNAcentral describes it as "partial 16S ribosomal RNA". It matches the Rfam family "Bacterial small subunit ribosomal RNA", at positions 28 to 523 of the family's 1533-position model. The record is from RNAcentral.